CUGUUUAUUUGUCUUACGCUCCCCUCUUGUCCUGCCCUCCCAACUUGUUCUGUGGUUUCUAAUGGCUCCCGGCCCAGGAGCAGAAGGAAAAGCCAGGAGGAGGAAGGGAGAAAGUAAGGAUGCCCUUCAAAGGCCAAACACGACCAGCUUUUGGAAAAAGGAUUAAAUGACAAGCCCAUGGAAAGCAAUCCAAAGUACAGUUUAGAAGCAAACCUUUGAGGGAGUUAAACCUUUGGAGCGUCAAUGGAAAAGCACACCUUCCACCAAACCACAAAACCCGGGACGCCCAUCGGAUGGAACUGCAGCACCUGAUGAGGUAUUACAUCAUAUCAUGGGGCUACAGAGCUCCCAUCUCAUGCGGUCGGGGUUAGGGUGAUGUACCCACCAUGGCCUCCUCCUCCUCCUCCUCCCUCUCCUUCCUUCAUCCCUGGCCUGUGCCAGCUGGAUCAGGUCCCCAUGUCCUCGCCCAGGGAGACCUAUCGGCUGCUCUCUCUCCGCAAGCGAUGAGGCAAUCAAGCUCUCCUCUGUGAGAAGAUCCACAUGAACCUCCAGGGUCGGUAGCAGUCUAUCCUUCAAGACCACGUUCUGGGGAGCCCAAGAGGAAAGAGGGGAGCAUGGAGGGAGGGGUCUUUCCCCGAGGCAGGCGGUGGGGCAGGGAGGAGCCCGUUGCCAGGAUACACAGGACAGUUGACGUUCCAAAGGGGGGGGGUCUUGGUGGAAUGUCCACCUCUGGGCUCAAUGGUCAGUUGGCCAGUUGACCGUUGGAGCCUCCUCUGGACGGUGGUGUGAAGGGGAUGCUCUGUGGGCCACGCCCCUGUUUUAGCGUUUUGCCAGACAGUUAUCAGCCCCUAAGCAUGUUUUCGAGUGUGAGUAUUUCCAUGGGCCUGUGUGAGAAGGAUGUCAUGGGUUUCUCCCUCCGGGGACCCUAAAACUCUUUUCUGGCUCAGCCACCAAGAUUAUUCAGACCCCUCUCUGAAAGAGAUGAAGGAGUUAAUCAGCGAAGACCCCCGCACCCCUCUUGGGGCAGUGACCAGAAUCCCUUCACGGAGAAGAUGGGUCUGGGUUCUGAGGGGAUGCCCCAGGGGGCCGAGACGGCAGCGGACCUCUCAGGGGAAGCGGGGGACCCUAAUUGGGAGGCGGCAGAAGGAGGCGGAGGCGUCCCCAAAAAGCCCAUUGGGGAUACUCGUCAAAGAUGAUGGCGAGCAAAGCCUGGACUGGAGGAAGGACAUUAAAUGGACGAAGAUCGAGAUCACCAUCAUCCUCGUCAAGAGAGAAGACAUCCUCCCUUCGUUGGCCCGAUCCUGAGACAUCCACCUGCGUCUUCUGUCUCUCGAAGCCCUGGGGUGAAACUUCGCCCCCCCCAAUGGAAGACCCUUAUUUUCCCAGGAUGGUCGAUUUUGAAGAACAAUGCCCCCGGGAGGAGUCAGUGGGAGGCUUGUCUGGGCUGGGAGUUCAGACAGUCAUGGUCAAGACCACCAAGGAAACUUCUAAGGUGGCUUGAGUGGAAAGCAUCUUGUCACCCCAAAUCUGAGUGAGGGGCUUGGUUCUGCCCCAGACAGGGUUUGUGUGUGUGUGUGUUUUAUAGAAAGAAAAUUAUUCAUGGCAACAAGAGGAAACGAGGAGACUUCGUUAACCGCUGUAACAUCCCAACGUCUGAGGUGGACUACACGGCAUGGUCAUCUUACGAACAAAUGGCACCAUCAAAACUGCAUGUUGGCCGCUGACUUGCCUUGCUUGCCUCUGUGAGGACUAGAAGCUUUUUAUUUGCUCGGAUAUUUUAAAUUUCCAUUGGCGCUUUGGACUGGCCCACAUAGUUUUUAUACCUCUCCGUGUUACUGUAAGCGAUAGAUCUUUUCGGUUUUGUAGCUCAACUGAAUAUACCACACUGUUGUAUAUGUGGUCUUUAAAAUCCUCUUGUUCAUGAAAGCCCCUUCUGUUAUUUUUUAAAAUAACAUUGGUAAUGGCACAGCUAAAAACUCUUGUAAACAAACAAACAAACAAACAAACAAACAAACAAACAAAUAAAUAAAUAAAUAAAACAGUCUCUUCA
Pogona vitticeps (central bearded dragon) is the source of this 2050-nucleotide long non-coding RNA. Lineage: Eukaryota; Metazoa; Chordata; Lepidosauria; Squamata; Agamidae. The record is from Ensembl.